Long non-coding RNA from Hemiscyllium ocellatum (epaulette shark), 331 nucleotides. RefSeq lists it as uncharacterized. NCBI's taxonomy places the organism in Eukaryota, Metazoa, Chordata, Chondrichthyes, Orectolobiformes, Hemiscylliidae. The record is from RefSeq and is a predicted model, not a curated record. The transcript is spliced from 3 exons.
AAGUUCUAAGAGGAUUGCAGAAGCAGCCUCAGGGCAUUGAGCACAGACUGAAUGACUCAGUGACGCUUGGAUCAGGUCAGAUCAAAUUCUCAAGCAAACAGAUGGCUGGGGAUAUUCAGUAACAACGGUGAGGAGAGAGAGGAACAAUUCACAUUUCAAGUGACCCUUCCUCAAAACGGUCUGUUCUGAAGGAGCUUUCCCGCAGAAAUCAUUGGAUUGAAAGGUCUCCAGUGCAUCCGUACAGAUUGGUUUUAGUGUUGAAUUCUCAAGCUUGCUCUGUUCAAGGGAUUGAACCCCUCUGCUACAAAGGGGGGUCAGUUACCUCAGCUAA